Non-coding RNA from Arachis ipaensis, 582 nucleotides. The record is from RefSeq and is a predicted model, not a curated record. Lineage: Eukaryota; Viridiplantae; Streptophyta; Magnoliopsida; Fabales; Fabaceae.
ACGGCAGGGGCGGAGGAUAGCGGCGACUAAAUAGUGGCAACGCCCAUAAUCGCUGAGAAAUCGAUUGAUAGCGGCAGAAGUGAGUGGCGGUCUAGCAGAUGCCGCCAUGCACCACUGGAUAGCGGCUGGCUAGUGACAACUGCCGCUCAUUUGGGAGCGAUUUCUUCAAGCCCCCUCUUUUGGGCAUGACUUCUUGGCACGAAGAGAAGCAACAGCAGAGGCGCGAAACACGCCAACUCCUCGUUCAGCAACGUAUCCUGGCUACUACUUCAAGAAACGCCGCUAGAAACCCUCGAGUUGAAGUUUGGAGCGCGCCAAACACAUAGGAGGAAAGCCCUGAUUCAUCAGCGGAAGAACCCACCAAGAAGCCGACCAAGCUGCCAUCUGUGCUUCUCAUCAAUCGUGGGUGAAACAGUUCCACCGUUCUCAGCCGUCCGCCAAGUUGAGCUAUCACCGUAUCGUGGCCUCUCCCCUUUCAUCUGGUAUGUUCUUUAAUAACUGAUCUCUCCUUCUUGUUUACAUUCUUAGUUCAGAAGACUGAUCGAGAGUUUGUCUAUAUAUUCUGCCAAUUUGGGUUAAUUG